GACGAACGCUGUCGGCGUGCUUAACACAUGCAAGUCGAACGAUGAAGCCCAGCUUGCUGGGUGGAUUAGUGGCGAACGGGUGAGUAAUACGUGAGUAACCUGCCUUUAACUCUGGGAUAAGCCUUGGAAACGGGGUCUAAUACUGGAUACGACCAACCCUCGCAUGGGGUGUUGGUGGAAAGGGAUUUUGUACUGGUUUUAGAUGGGCUCACGGCCUAUCAGCUUGUUGGUGAGGUAACGGCUCACCAAGGCGACGACGGGUAGCCGGCCUGAGAGGGUGGCCGGCCACACUGGGACUGAGACACGGCCCAGACUCCUACGGGAGGCAGCAGUGGGGAAUAUUGCACAAUGGGCGCAAGCCUGAUGCAGCGACGCCGCGUGAGGGAUGACGGCCUUCGGGUUGUAAACCUCUUUCAGCAGGGGAGAAGCGAAAGUGACGGUACCCGCAGAAGAAGCGCCGGCUAACUACGUGCCAGCAGCCGCGGUAAUACGUAGGGCGCGAGCGUUGUCCGGAAUUAUUGGGCGUAAAGAGCUUGUAGGCGGUUUGUCGCGUCUGCUGUGAAAGCCCGGGGCUUAACCCCGGGUUUGCAGUGGGUACGGGCAGACUAGAGUGCAGUAGGGGAGACUGGAAUUCCUGGUGUAGCGGUGAAAUGCGCAGAUAUCAGGAGGAACACCAAUGGCGAAGGCAGGUCUCUGGGCUGUAACUGACGCUGAGAAGCGAAAGCAUGGGGAGCAAACAGGAUUAGAUACCCUGGUAGUCCAUGCCGUAAACGUUGGGCACUAGGUGUGGGGAACAUUCCACGUUUUCCGCGCCGUAGCUAACGCAUUAAGUGCCCCGCCUGGGGAGUACGGCCGCAAGGCUAAAACUCAAAGAAAUUGACGGGGGCCCGCACAAGCGGCGGAGCAUGCGGAUUAAUUCGAUGCAACGCGAAGAACCUUACCAAGGCUUGACAUAUACUAGACCGCCUCAGAGAUGGGGUUUCCCUUCGGGGCUGGUAUACAGGUGGUGCAUGGUUGUCGUCAGCUCGUGUCGUGAGAUGUUGGGUUAAGUCCCGCAACGAGCGCAACCCUCGUUCUAUGUUGCCAGCACGUAAUGGUGGGGACUCAUAGGAGACUGCCGGGGUUAACUCGGAGGAAGGUGGGGAUGACGUCAAAUCAUCAUGCCCCUUAUGUCUUGGGCUUCACGCAUGCUACAAUGGCCGGUACAAAGGGUUGCGAUACUGUGAGGUUGAGCUAAUCCCAAAAAGCCGGUCUCAGUUCGGAUUGGGGUCUGCAACUCGACCCCAUGAAGUCGGAGUCGCUAGUAAUCGCAGAUCAGCAACGCUGCGGUGAAUACGUUCCCGGGCCU
Molecule: ribosomal RNA, 1348 nt
Filed under: uncultured bacterium
Lineage: Bacteria
Description: bacterial SSU rRNA
Rfam family: Bacterial small subunit ribosomal RNA
Source: RNAcentral